RNAcentral lists this ribosomal RNA (859 nucleotides) under human gut metagenome. RNAcentral's name for it is "bacterial SSU rRNA". It matches the Rfam family "Bacterial small subunit ribosomal RNA", at positions 8 to 868 of the family's 1533-position model. The record is from RNAcentral.
AGAGUUUGAUCCUGGCUCAGGAUUAACGCUGGCGGCAUGCCUAAUACAUGCAAGUCGAACGAGAGUAGCAAUACUCUAGUGGCGAACGGGUGAGUAACACGUAGGAAACCUGCCUCAAAGUCGAGGAUAACUACUGGAAACGGUAGCUAAAACUGGAUAGGAUAUAUUAAGGCAUCUUGAUAUAUUUAAAAGUCCUUCUGGGAAUGCUUUGAGAUGGUCCUGCGGCGCAUUAGCUAGUUGGUGAGGUAGUAGCUUACCAAGGCGACGAUGCGUAGCUGAGCUGAGAGGCCAAACAGCCACACUGGGACUGAGACACGGCCCAGACUCCUACGGGAGGCAGCAGUAGGGAAUUUUCGGCAAUGGGGGAAACCCUGACCGAGCAAUGCCGCGUGAAUGAUGAAAUUCUUCGGAAUGUAAAAUUCUGUUGUGAGGGAAGAAAGGUAGUAUCAGGAAAUGGGUAUUACUUGACGGUACCUUACUAGAAAGCCCCGGCUAACUAUGUGCCAGCAGCCGCGGUAAUACAUAGGGGGCGAGCGUUAUCCGGAAUUAUUGGGCGUAAAGCGUGCGUAGGCGGCCGUUUAAGUCUGUCGUGAAAGCCCACAGCUUAACUGUGGAGGGUCGAUGGAAACUGGAUGGCUUGAAUCUAGAAGAGGUAAGUGGAAUUCCAUGUGUAGCGGUAAAAUGCUUAGAUAUAUGGAGGAACACCAGUGGCGAAGGCGGCUUACUGGUCUAGCAUUGACGCUGAGGCACGAAAGCGUAGGUAGCAAACAGGAUUAGAUACCCUGGUAGUCUACGCUGUAAACGAUGAGCACUAAGUGUCGGACGUAAGUUCGGUGCUGUAGUUAACGCAUUAAGUGCU